RNAcentral lists this ribosomal RNA (497 nucleotides) under uncultured bacterium. RNAcentral describes it as "partial 16S ribosomal RNA". It matches the Rfam family "Bacterial small subunit ribosomal RNA", at positions 28 to 507 of the family's 1533-position model. The record is from RNAcentral.
GAUGAACGCUGGCGGCGUGCCUAAUACAUGCAAGUCGAGCGAACAGACGAGGAGCUUGCUCCUUUGACGUUAGCGGCGGACGGGUGAGUAACACGUGGGUAACCUACCUAUAAGACUGGGAUAACUUCGGGAAACCGGAGCUAAUACCGGAUAAUAUUUCGAACCGCAUGGUUCGAUAGUGAAAGAUGGCUCUGCUAUCACUUAUAGAUGGACCUGCGCCGUAUUAGCUAGUUGGUAAGGUAACGGCUUACCAAGGCAACGAUACGUAGCCGACCUGAGAGGAUGAUCGGCCACACUGGAACUGAGACACGGUCCAGACUCCUACGGGAGGCAGCAGUAGGGAAUCUUCCGCAAUGGGCGAAAGCCUGACGGAGCAACGCCGCGUGAGUGAUGAAGGUCUUCGGAUCGUAAAACUCUGUUAUUAGGGAAGAACAAACGUGUAAGUAACUGUGCACGUCUUGACGGUACCUAAUCAGAAAGCCACGGCUAACUACGUG